GUGUCAGCAGCCGCGGUAAUACGGAGGGGGCUAGCGUUGUUCGGAAUUACUGGGCGUAAAGCGCACGUAGGCGGCUUUGUAAGUUAGAGGUGAAAGCCCAGGGCUCAACCCUGGAAUUGCCUUUAAGACUGCAUCGCUUGAACAUCGGAGAGGUAAGUGGAAUUCCGAGUGUAGAGGUGAAAUUCGUAGAUAUUCGGAAGAACACCAGUGGCGAAGGCGACUUACUGGACGAUUGUUGACGCUGAGGUGCGAAAGCGUGGGGAGCAAACAGGAUUAGAAACCCGCGUAGUCC
This 292-nucleotide ribosomal RNA is filed under the name uncultured bacterium. RNAcentral describes it as "partial 16S ribosomal RNA". It matches the Rfam family "Bacterial small subunit ribosomal RNA", at positions 505 to 796 of the family's 1533-position model. The record is from RNAcentral.